This 497-nucleotide ribosomal RNA is filed under the name uncultured bacterium. RNAcentral's name for it is "partial 16S ribosomal RNA". It matches the Rfam family "Bacterial small subunit ribosomal RNA", at positions 28 to 507 of the family's 1533-position model. The record is from RNAcentral.
GAUGAACGCUGGCGGCGUGCCUAAUACAAGCAAGUCGAGCGAACAGACGAGGAGCUUGCUCCUUUGACGUUAGCGGCGGACGGGUGAGUAACACGUGGGUAACCUACCUAUAAGACUGGGAUAACUUCGGGAAACCGGAGCUAAUACCGGAUAAUAUUUCGAACCGCAUGGUUCGAUAGUGAAAGAUGGCUUUGCUAUCACUUAUAGAUGGACCUGCGCCGUAUUAGCUAGUUGGUAAGGUAACGGCUUACCAAGGCAACGAUACGUAGCCGACCUGAGAGGGUGAUCGGCCACACUGGAACUGAGACACGGUCCAGACUCCUACGGGAGGCAGCAGUAGGGAAUCUUCCGCAAUGGGCGAAAGCCUGACGGAGCAACGCCGCGUGAGUGAUGAAGGUCUUCGGAUCGUAAAACUCUGUUAUUAGGGAAGAACAAACGUGUAAGUAACUGUGCACGUCUUGACGGUACCUAAUCAGAAAGCCACGGCUAACUACGUG